Acromyrmex echinatior (Panamanian leafcutter ant) is the source of this 1303-nucleotide long non-coding RNA. The record is from RefSeq and is a predicted model, not a curated record. Lineage: Eukaryota; Metazoa; Arthropoda; Insecta; Hymenoptera; Formicidae.
UAUGAGUUUAUUAUAUAUUGAUAUAAGUAUAUUAUAUUUAACACGUUAAGUAUAAUUCAUUUCACAUCACACGUUCUCGCCUAAGUGUUAACUUGUUAACGUCAAUGUGUCCAAAAACUCAUUUGUUACUGGAUUCAUCAUCAUCUACUGCAGUUUCACUAGUGUUUAAUUGUUGAAAAAAUGAAUCGGAGGAAUAAAUUUUAGCAAAUCUAACAUAGCUUCUUCUUAGCCGCAGAAACAGGACGCAUAGAUGGGUAUAAAUUUUCUUGUUCUAUAUUCAUAUUCUUCAAUUGUAAUGGUCUGCUACACCGAAUAUUUAAUGUGUAUCAAAUUCAGCAUCUGAAGAAAAUGUAGUUUCAUAGAAAAUAUCGAAUUGUUUUUCCCGUUCAACCACUAAUGCAACCACUAAAUGAAACAAUCAAUACUGGUGUUAUGUCCAGGCCCCAAAAUUCUUUUAUUUCGAUUGGAAGAAGGAGUUAGGAGGAGGGGGGGAGAGGCCAAGGAAGGACGCAACUGACACCGCUCUUGUAAAUAGUUAUCGCUCUGAGGCGAGUAUCACAAGUCGGACGCACUUGAUUAUGUUUUAGAUAUGGGUCAAUGUCGAUACGCGACGCUAUUACCCAAUCUGAGAUUGUGCAUUCAUCGGUCCUCUUUCAGGUCAAAGAGCUUAAUCCUUUUGACUAGAAUCUGUACGAUCUUUGUCAAGACGCAGUGAAUCGGAAGGGCGGUGAAAUAGAAUUUAAGCAAUCAUUUAGAAAUGUUCAUAUAUAAUUUUUCUAUAGUUCUCUUAAUUAAGAUUAGAUACAGAUGUAUGCGCGUACUUAUAUAAUCAUGUUAAUGUAUGAAAUUUGCAAUAAUAUAAAAAUAUAUGCAUGAAGAGUAAGUACCGUGUGUGUGAUGGAUGUUGUUUUAUAAAAAUCGAUGUUAAUGAAAAAUACUAUAGAUUCCUGCGUGCGUGCGUGCGGGCGGGCAGGCGUGCGUGCGUAUUAAAGGAGAGGAGAGGAACUUUUUAUGGAUCUGAUGAGGAUUCUAGUGACUGGAAUAUUUCAUCGUAGGACCUGUUGUCUUCCGGAGGGACUGGAGAGUGAGAGAGAGUAGAGGAUUCUGUGUUUUGGAAAUUAUCGGAGGUAGGAGAAUAAAAGGGAGAAGGGAAUUCAAAACCUAAGGAAAGGUUUGAAGGUGUAUUGCUGGGGGAACUAUCGGUUGGCUUGUCGGAGGUAAGAUCUAUCACAGAGUUGGGAGAACCUUGAUCUCGAUAUUUUUGGCGCAAAUGAGCCCUUUUUAGUUGGCGACGGGCUUGAGG